This 253-nucleotide ribosomal RNA is filed under the name uncultured bacterium. RNAcentral's name for it is "partial 16S ribosomal RNA". It matches the Rfam family "Bacterial small subunit ribosomal RNA", at positions 524 to 776 of the family's 1533-position model. The record is from RNAcentral.
UACGAAGGGGGCUAGCGUUGCUCGGAUUUACUGGGCGUAAAGCGUGCGCAGGCGGUGAUGUAAGACAGGUGUGAAAUCCCCGGGCUUAACCUGGGAACUGCAUUUGUGACUGCAUCGCUGGAGUGCGGCAGAGGGGGAUGGAAUUCCGCGUGUAGCAGUGAAAUGCGUAGAUAUGCGGAGGAACACCGAUGGCGAAGGCAAUCCCCUGGGCCUGCACUGACGCUCAUGCACGAAAGCGUGGGGAGCAAACAGG